Molecule: ribosomal RNA, 2990 nt
Filed under: Salmonella enterica
Lineage: Bacteria; Pseudomonadati; Pseudomonadota; Gammaproteobacteria; Enterobacterales; Enterobacteriaceae
Also listed under: 4 other names
Description: 23S ribosomal RNA
Rfam family: Bacterial large subunit ribosomal RNA
Source: RNAcentral
GGUUAAGCGACUAAGCGUACACGGUGGAUGCCCUGGCAGUCAGAGGCGAUGAAGGGCGUGCUAAUCUGCGAUAAGCGCCGGUAAGGUGAUAUGAACCGUUAUAACCGGCGAUACCCGAAUGGGGAAACCCAGUGUGAUUCGUCACACUAUCAUUAACUGAAUCCAUAGGUUAAUGAGGCGAACCGGGGGAACUGAAACAUCUAAGUACCCCGAGGAAAAGAAAUCAACCGAGAUUCCCCCAGUAGCGGCGAGCGAACGGGGAGGAGCCCAGAGCCUGAAUCAGCAUGUGUGUUAGUGGAAGCGUCUGGAAAGGCGCGCGAUACAGGGUGACAGCCCCGUACACAAAAGCGCAUGUGCUGUGAGCUCGAUGAGUAGGGCGGGACACGUGGUAUCCUGUCUGAAUAUGGGGGGACCAUCCUCCAAGGCUAAAUACUCCUGACUGACCGAUAGUGAACCAGUACCGUGAGGGAAAGGCGAAAAGAACCCCGGCGAGGGGAGUGAAAAAGAACCUGAAACCGUGUACGUACAAGCAGUGGGAGCACCCUUCGGGGUGUGACUGCGUACCUUUUGUAUAAUGGGUCAGCGACUUAUAUUCUGUAGCAAGGUUAACCGUAUAGGGGAGCCGGAGGGAAACCGAGUCUUAAUUGGGCGUUAAGUUGCAGGGUAUAGACCCGAAACCCGGUGAUCUAGCCAUGGGCAGGUUGAAGGUUGGGUAACACUAACUGGAGGACCGAACCGACUAAUGUUGAAAAAUUAGCGGAUGACCUGUGGCUGGGGGUGAAAGGCCAAUCAAACCGGGAGAUAGCUGGUUCUCCCCGAAAGCUAUUUAGGUAGCGCCUCGUGAAUUCAUCUCCGGGGGUAGAGCACUGUUUCGGCUAGGGGGCCAUCCCGGCUUACCAACCCGAUGCAAACUGCGAAUACCGGAGAAUGUUAUCACGGGAGACACACGGCGGGUGCUAACGUCCGUCGUGAAGAGGGAAACAACCCAGACCGCCAGCUAAGGUCCCAAAGUCAUGGUUAAGUGGGAAACGAUGUGGGAAGGCCCAGACAGCCAGGAUGUUGGCUUAGAAGCAGCCAUCAUUUAAAGAAAGCGUAAUAGCUCACUGGUCGAGUCGGCCUGCGCGGAAGAUGUAACGGGGCUAAACCAUGCACCGAAGCUGCGGCAGCGAACGUAUCACCCAAGACAACUUUACGGAGUUGACGAUUGACGGAGCGAAGCGACGUCAAAGCGUUCAUUAAAGUCGAGUUGGCUUAGGGAUACGUUCGUUGGGUAGGGGAGCGUUCUGUAAGCCUGUGAAGGUGUGUCGUGAGGCAUGCUGGAGGUAUCAGAAGUGCGAAUGCUGACAUAAGUAACGAUAAAGCGGGUGAAAAGCCCGCUCGCCGGAAGACCAAGGGUUCCUGUCCAACGUUAAUCGGGGCAGGGUGAGUCGACCCCUAAGGCGAGGCCGAAAGGCGUAGUCGAUGGGAAACGGGUUAAUAUUCCCGUACUUGGUGUUACUGCGAAGGGGGGACGGAGAAGGCUAUGUUGGCCGGGCGACGGUUGUCCCGGUUUAAGCGUGUAGGUGUGUGUUCCAGGUAAAUCCGGUUCACUUUAACACUGAGGCGUGACGACGAGGCACUACGGUGCUGAAGCAACAAAUGCCCUGCUUCCAGGAAAAGCCUCUAAGCAUCAGGUAACACGAAAUCGUACCCCAAACCGACACAGGUGGUCAGGUAGAGAAUACCAAGGCGCUUGAGAGAACUCGGGUGAAGGAACUAGGCAAAAUGGUGCCGUAACUUCGGGAGAAGGCACGCUGACACGUAGGUGAAGUGAUUUACUCAUGGAGCUGAAGUCAGUCGAAGAUACCAGCUGGCUGCAACUGUUUAUUAAAAACACAGCACUGUGCAAACACGAAAGUGGACGUAUACGGUGUGACGCCUGCCCGGUGCCGGAAGGUUAAUUGAUGGGGUCAGCGUAAGCGAAGCUCCUGAUCGAAGCCCCGGUAAACGGCGGCCGUAACUAUAACGGUCCUAAGGUAGCGAAAUUCCUUGUCGGGUAAGUUCCGACCUGCACGAAUGGCGUAAUGAUGGCCAGGCUGUCUCCACCCGAGACUCAGUGAAAUUGAACUCGCUGUGAAGAUGCAGUGUACCCGCGGCAAGACGGAAAGACCCCGUGAACCUUUACUAUAGCUUGACACUGAACAUUGAGCCUUGAUGUGUAGGAUAGGUGGGAGGCUUUGAAGUGUGGACGCCAGUCUGCAUGGAGCCGACCUUGAAAUACCACCCUUUAAUGUUUGAUGUUCUAACGUGGACCCGUAAUCCGGGUUGCGGACAGUGUCUGGUGGGUAGUUUGACUGGGGCGGUCUCCUCCUAAAGAGUAACGGAGGAGCACGAAGGUUGGCUAAUCCUGGUCGGACAUCAGGAGGUUAGUGCAAUGGCAUAAGCCAGCUUGACUGCGAGCGUGACGGCGCGAGCAGGUGCGAAAGCAGGUCAUAGUGAUCCGGUGGUUCUGAAUGGAAGGGCCAUCGCUCAACGGAUAAAAGGUACUCCGGGGAUAACAGGCUGAUACCGCCCAAGAGUUCAUAUCGACGGCGGUGUUUGGCACCUCGAUGUCGGCUCAUCACAUCCUGGGGCUGAAGUAGGUCCCAAGGGUAUGGCUGUUCGCCAUUUAAAGUGGUACGCGAGCUGGGUUUAGAACGUCGUGAGACAGUUCGGUCCCUAUCUGCCGUGGGCGCUGGAGAACUGAGGGGGGCUGCUCCUAGUACGAGAGGACCGGAGUGGACGCAUCACUGGUGUUCGGGUUGUCAUGCCAAUGGCACUGCCCGGUAGCUAAAUGCGGAAGAGAUAAGUGCUGAAAGCAUCUAAGCACGAAACUUGCCCCGAGAUGAGUUCUCCCUGAGACUUAGAGUCUCCUGAAGGAACGUUGAAGACGACGACGUUGAUAGGCCGGGUGUGUAAGCGCAGCGAUGCGUUGAGCUAACCGGUACUAAUGAACCGUGAGGCUUAACCUU